Molecule: ribosomal RNA, 301 nt
Filed under: uncultured bacterium
Lineage: Bacteria
Description: partial 16S ribosomal RNA
Rfam family: Bacterial small subunit ribosomal RNA
Source: RNAcentral
CAGCAGCCGCGGGAAUACGUAGGGUGCAAGCGUUAAUCGGAAUUACUGGGCGUAAAGCGUGCGCAGGCGGUUCUAUAAGACAGAUGUGAAAUCCCCGGGCUCAACCUGGGAACUGCAUUUGUGACUGUAGAGCUGGAGUGCGGCAGAGGGGGAUGGAAUUCCGCGUGUAGCAGUGAAAUGCGUAGAUAUGCGGAGGAACACCGAUGGCGAAGGCAAUCCCCUGGGCCUGCACUGACGCUCAUGCACGAAAGCGUGGGGAGCAAACAGGAUUAGAUACCCCGGUAGUCCCUGUCUCUUAUAC